CCAGCAGCCGCGGUAAUACGUAGGUAGCAAGCGUUGUCCGGAAUUACUGGGUGUAAAGGGAGCGUAGGCGGGGAGACAAGUUGAAUGUUUAAACUAUGGGCUUAACCCAUAGUCGCGUUCAAAACUGUUUUUCUUGAGUGAAGUAGAGGCAGGCGGAAUUCCUAGUGUAGCGGUGAAAUGCGUAGAUAUUAGGAGGAACACCAGUGGCGAAGGCGGCCUGCUGGGCUUUAACUGACGCUGAGGCUCGAAAGCGUGGGUAGCAAACAGGAUUAGAUACCCUGGUAGUCCACGCUGUAAACGAUGAUUACUAGGUGUGGGGGGACUGACCCCUUCCGUGCCGGAGUUAACACAAUAAGUAAUCCACCUGGGGAGUACGGCCGCAAGGUUGAAACUCAAAGGAAUUGACGGGGGCCCGCACA
This 419-nucleotide ribosomal RNA is filed under the name uncultured bacterium. RNAcentral describes it as "bacterial SSU rRNA". It matches the Rfam family "Bacterial small subunit ribosomal RNA", at positions 508 to 927 of the family's 1533-position model. The record is from RNAcentral.